This 316-nucleotide ribosomal RNA is filed under the name uncultured Cantharellales. RNAcentral's name for it is "partial large subunit ribosomal RNA". It matches the Rfam family "Eukaryotic large subunit ribosomal RNA", at positions 40 to 350 of the family's 3401-position model. The record is from RNAcentral. Lineage: Eukaryota; Fungi; Basidiomycota; Agaricomycetes; Cantharellales.
AUAUCAAUAAGCGGAGGAAAAGAAACUAACAAGGAUUCCCCUAGUAACGGCGAGUGAAGCGGGAUGAGCUCAAAUUUAAAAUCUGGCAGUCUUUGAUUGUCCGAGUUGUAAUCUAGAGAAGUGUUUCCGCGCUGGACCAUGUACAAGUUUCCUGGAACGGAACGUCAUAGAGGGUGAGAAUCCCGUCCUUGACAUGGACUCCCAGUGCUAUGUGAUACACUCUCAACGAGUCGAGUUGUUUGGGAUUGCAGCUCUAAGUGGGUGGUAAAUUCCAUCUAAGGCUAAAUACUGGUGGGAGACCGAUAGCGCACAAGUA